AGGAAAAUAAAAGAAGAAAAAUCACGAAAACAAAACCAUUAAUAGGAAGACCACAAAGACUCCAUGAAUCUACAAAACCCUCUGUUUUGACUUUUCUGCUUGCACCUAAUGACAAAGCACAAAACACAAAACCCUUGUGACCAAAUAUAUUAAAACUCUGGAAUAAUGGUUGAAUUGGUUUGGAGAGGCUGAAGAAGCAUUUUCCUCAUUUUCCUUCACACUGCUUCAUCAGAUGAAACUGAGUAAACAUGAUGGAAGCACUGAAGUUUCUUAGAAAGCAUGUCUGGAGCUCUGGAGUUUACAUUUUUUAGAAAGCAUUACAAGUCUGAGAUCAUUGUUCCUGUCACUAAACAACAAGGGAAAACUACUCAUCUUCUUCAGCUGCUCAGUAAAAGGGAAAAUUAUGAUUCACACACUUCUGCUGCCUUCUAGAGCAGUGAUAAACAGAGUAGUGUGGUUUGGUAUGCUACCAGGAAACAGACUCACCAGAAGAGUCUGGUUCUGCGCUACUGGAAGGUAAAAGGAUUCAAGCUUGCAAGGAUACAGUGUACUGCUGCAACUGUAAAUGACCAUUAAAAUUUAAGUUUAAAGAAGGUAAAUAGCAUCACAUGUUAUCAUACUUCUGAUGGGCAGACUGUAUAGCACGUUAACAUUUUAAAGCAUUUAUCCUUAAUGGAACGUUGAUAUGCUGGAUAAAUUUCUGCUAUGAAAUUCUAUUGUGUAAUCCCGUUAUGGCUCGUGGGGUUGCAAUACUGUAACCUAAACCUAGAUCCUAGGCAGUAUGAAAGGGAAGAUUUCACUCUUCUUUAAUUUAUCAAGAUAUGAUAGCAAGCAAAUCUAGCUUCACUGUUUCCAGCAAAGUGGGUGCUGAUUUUCACCAGCUUGAUACAUGAAAUGAAGGCAAUUUGCAUAGCUGUUGCUCUAUACCAUUUUGUCAUUUGAGAUGAACAAUUCUAUACAUAAAUAACCAAGUAUGUUUCUCUUGACAGGAUCCUGACUCCGAAGGAAGUAUUAGAAAAAAUUAGGUUAAUUACCUAUUAUACAGUUUAUUAUCUUAAAAUCAAUUUAUUUAAAGCAUGUAAUGGUUGAAAUUAAUGAAUUAUUUCAAAACAAUUGUUGUAAAAAGGACACAAAUUUCAGAGUAGCCAAUGUGGUUUUCUUCAAAAUCUUUCUGAGUGAGGCAUUCCAAUUCUAGGUACUGAACAGCUUGGGGAUGUUGGCAGUAUUUGCAAAAUAAAGGAUGAAAUGAAAGAGCGGACAGUAUGCAAAACACAGAUCUUUAAAUUUACUAACUGUUACAGAGGCAAAAAAAAAGUUAAUUUUGAGAGUAAUGCUACAUUGAUCAGCUGAAAUAGUUCUUCAUUUUCUUAGUUCUGCCUAUAGUUUGAAAAACAAUAAAAACAAAAAACCAACAACCCAAAUCACACAUUUGUGAAUCUUAUCAAGAAGCUCAGGAAGGAGGCUGAAAUUACAUAAAUAAAUAUAAGCAGUUAGUCUAUCUCUGUCACCAUGUUUGGGAGCAGCAUUUAGAAAUGAACUAUUAUAUAGCUAGUAACAGCAUCAAAAUGACUGUUUGGGUCUAAUGUUCAGAAGCCUGAAUCAGAAAUAACUGAAUCUAAACUAACUCAUGGCGAUUAAAGUGAUAAAACCAGCACAAGGUUUGAAUCAGAGAGAUCUGCAGCCAGUGUACUUUCAAUCAAGACAACAUUUUUUGUUUAUGGUAACAGAGAAUCUUCUUAUCAAAAGUUUACAACAAUUGUAUCAUAUACACGAUAUUCACCAAAUAUAACAUGGAAGUAUAUUUAGCCACAGUUUUAAUAAUCUCAUUUCCCUGGAUAUUUUGAGAGUCUGUUGAGGUUCAGGUUGUAACAGCUAUCUGAACACAUUUGAGGAUUAUAUUUAUAAUUGUAAAUGUGAAGGCUUUCUGUGAAUGACAAGCUAGCUUUUCUGUUACAGAUCUUUAUCACCAAAUGUAGCUCCCUUGUCAUAAGGGAAACAGAGAUAAUGCAACAAUAUGCUAUGUACUGGCUAUGAGGAUUUGGGGAAUCAGCACAAGAGCCUGUACAGUGCAAUACAUUGGCAAAUGACUCUAAAGCUGACUGAAGAUUUUCAGAAGAAUCUCAUGAUAUUGAAAAGCAAAAUGAGCAGACAAAAUUCAGUGUUAAGAAGUGUACUUGAAUAAAUGUAUACUAAGAAGAUCGAUGCAGUGAUGUAUUCUCAGUUAUUAUGCUAUAGUCAGACCUCUGAAAACAUCAGCUCAGUGUUGCAUGGCAGUCAAUGUGGCAAAUAGAUUAUGAGAUGUUAUUAGAAAAGGAACAGAGAAAUAGGAAACAUCA
Molecule: long non-coding RNA, 2336 nt
Organism: Numida meleagris (helmeted guineafowl)
Lineage: Eukaryota; Metazoa; Chordata; Aves; Galliformes; Numididae
Exons: 3
Source: RefSeq, a predicted model, not a curated record